RNAcentral lists this transfer RNA (71 nucleotides) under bacterium. RNAcentral's name for it is "tRNA-Gln". It matches the Rfam family "tRNA". From Rfam's summary of the family: Transfer RNA (tRNA) molecules are approximately 80 nucleotides in length. Their secondary structure includes four short double-helical elements and three loops (D, anti-codon, and T loops). Further hydrogen bonds mediate the characteristic L-shaped molecular structure. tRNAs have two regions of fundamental functional importance: the anti-codon, which is responsible for specific mRNA codon recognition, and the 3' end, to which the tRNAs corresponding amino acid is attached (by aminoacyl-tRNA synthetases). tRNAs cope with the degeneracy of the genetic code in two manners: having more than one tRNA (with a specific anti-codon) for a particular amino acid; and 'wobble' base-pairing, i.e. permitting non-standard base-pairing at the 3rd anti-codon position. The record is from RNAcentral.
UGCCGGGUGGUCUAAUGGUAGGACACGGGCCUUUGGAGCCCGGUGUGGUGGUUCGAUCCCAUCCCCGGCAG